RNAcentral lists this long non-coding RNA (920 nucleotides) under Olea europaea subsp. europaea. The record is from RNAcentral. Lineage: Eukaryota; Viridiplantae; Streptophyta; Magnoliopsida; Lamiales; Oleaceae.
GGAUAAUGUAAGAUUUGGGUAGGCAACAAGCAUAAACUGGUCCUAUGGUGCAAACACUAACAACAUCAGCUCAAUUGUGGAACAGUUCCAUUGCUACAAACCCCCAACCUUUGAUGGCAAGGUAGACCCACUAGUAGCCAAAGAAUGGAUAAGAGGAAUGGAGCGAAUCUCCAAACAUCUAUCUUGUACUGAUGCUCAAAAGGUGUUAUGUGCAGAAUUCAUGUCGGUUGGCAUUGCAGGCCACUGGCGGGAGUCAGCAUCUCGCACCAUAAUAGAAGCAGAACAACGUGCUCUGACAUGUACACAAUAUAAGGACGAAUUGAUGGGAAAAUACUUCCCCCAAGCUCUGAGAGAUCAAAACGAGACAAAAUUCCUUCAAUUUAAACAGGGUAAAAUGAUACUUGAGGAUUAUCAAAGAAAAUUUGAACAACUCUCAAGGUAUGCACCAUACCUAGUAGAUACUGAAGCAAAGAAAGCAAGAAGGUUUGAACUGGGAAUGCGUCCAAAGAUUGGUGGAAUACUGGCAUCCUCCCAAUUCACCACCUAUAGCCGAGUAUUACAGACUGCCCAAGCAAUCUCAAAUAGGUCAGAAAUUGAUCAAACUCCCUAACAAGGAGCCGAGCCUUCAAGAAAGAGGAAAUGGAAUGGGUCCAACGAAGAGAAAGGAAAAGGACAGAACAAGAAGGCUAACUUCGGAUCAAGUUUUGGACAAAUCGUUCCACUUUAUCCAAAAUGCAACAAAAUGUAUAGGGGUGAAUAUCUGUAUAAGAAGCAUGUGUGCUAUAGAUAUGGUAAAACGUGGCAUAUUUCCAAAAACUAAAAAGAGGAACUUUCAAAAAAGAAUGACCAGCCAGAAAAGCAAGGAAAGGCCAGAAUUUUUACUUUAACCCAAGGACAGGCCACAAAAGACUCGAACGCAG